UACGUAGGGUGCAAGCGUUGUCCGGAAUUAUUGGGCGUAAAGAGCUCGUAGGCGGUUUGUCGCGUCUGCUGUGAAAACUCGGGGCUUAACUCCGGGCCUGCAGUGGGUACGGGCAGACUAGAGUGCGGUAGGGGAGACUGGAAUUCCUGGUGUAGCGGUGAAAUGCGCAGAUAUCAGGAGGAACACCAAUGGCGAAGGCAGCUCGCUGGGACGUGACUGACGCUGAGACGCGAAAGCGUGGGGAGCAAACAGG
This 253-nucleotide ribosomal RNA is filed under the name uncultured bacterium. Its description in RNAcentral is "partial 16S ribosomal RNA". It matches the Rfam family "Bacterial small subunit ribosomal RNA", at positions 524 to 776 of the family's 1533-position model. The record is from RNAcentral.